Molecule: non-coding RNA, 319 nt
Organism: Pantherophis guttatus
Lineage: Eukaryota; Metazoa; Chordata; Lepidosauria; Squamata; Colubridae
Source: RefSeq, a predicted model, not a curated record
UGCAGGACCUGAAAGCAAGAUAAGAGGGUAAUCACCAUUUCCAAAGCAGAUUACCUAAUGCCAAGCCCUCCAUAGUUCUUGACCUGUGGUAUCUCUUCUAUGCUCAGUUCACAAAAUCUUUGAUGCAAUAGAUGAAUCUCUACGUAGCAUCCCUGGAGCUCCAUAUUACCCUCCCUUGCUACCACAUGGCUGCCAGCAUACGUACAAGAAAAGGAGGAAGAGGAAGAGAAAACAAGUAAAAAUAGAAGGAAAGAAGGAAAAUCAAUGAAAAUAUUUUCCCCCUUUUUUAUGAGUGGAAUGAUACAGUACUGAGCAUCUU